This is a long non-coding RNA of Branchiostoma belcheri (Belcher's lancelet), 295 nucleotides long. RefSeq lists it as uncharacterized. The transcript is spliced from 3 exons. The record is from RefSeq and is a predicted model, not a curated record. NCBI's taxonomy places the organism in Eukaryota, Metazoa, Chordata, Leptocardii, Amphioxiformes, Branchiostomatidae.
GCUGUUUUGCUGUUCGUCAGGUUUGCCAUUGCACUGGGAUCCUGCAGUGAGUUCCUGUCAGUACAGGACAAGAUCAAGGAUGGGUACAAGUUCAAGGAACAUAUCGAGAGAGCGCUGGAGCUGCGGCCCAACGAUGCCACAGUUCAUCAUCUUCUAGGGAGGUGGUGUUACGAGGUCACCAUGUUAAGUUGGGUUGAGAGAAAGUGGCAUCUGCAUUGUUUGCUGCGCCUACCAAACUCCUCUGUGGACGAGGCGUUAGAACUACUUUCGUGGAGGUGAGUAGGUAAAAAUUACA